This 253-nucleotide ribosomal RNA is filed under the name uncultured bacterium. RNAcentral's name for it is "partial 16S ribosomal RNA". It matches the Rfam family "Bacterial small subunit ribosomal RNA", at positions 524 to 776 of the family's 1533-position model. The record is from RNAcentral.
GACGAAGGAUGCAAGCGUUAUCCGGAUUCAUUGGGUUUAAAGGGUGCGUAGGUGGCCUUAUAAGUCAGUGGUGAAAUCUCUCAGCUUAACUGAGAAAUUGCCAUUGAUACUGUAGGGCUUGAGUACAGAUGCCGUUGGCGGAAUAUGACAUGUAGUGGUGAAAUACAUAGAGAUGUCAUAGAACACCGAUUGCGAAGGCAGCUGACGAAACUGUAACUGACACUGAGGCUCGAAAGUGCGGGGAUCAAACAGG